RNAcentral lists this ribosomal RNA (374 nucleotides) under uncultured bacterium. RNAcentral's name for it is "bacterial SSU rRNA". It matches the Rfam family "Bacterial small subunit ribosomal RNA", at positions 28 to 404 of the family's 1533-position model. The record is from RNAcentral.
GACGAACGCUGGCGGCAUGCCUUACACAUGCAAGUCGAACGGCAGCACGGGGGCAACCCUGGUGGCGAGUGGCGAACGGGUGAGUAACACAUCGGAACGUGCCCAGUAGUGGGGGAUAGCUCGGCGAAAGCCGGAUUAAUACCGCAUACGACCUACGGGUGAAAGCGGGGGAUCGCAAGACCUUGCGCUAUUGGAGCGGCCGAUGUCAGAUUAGGUUGUUGGUGGGGUAAAGGCCUACCAAGCCGACGAUCUGUAGCUGGUCUGAGAGGACGACCAGCCACACUGGGACUGAGACACGGCCCAGACUCCUACGGGAGGCAGCAGUGGGGAAUUUUGGACAAUGGGCGCAAGCCUGAUCCAGCCAUGCCGCGUGC